AAAUUGAAGAGUUUGAUCAUGGCUCAGAUUGAACGCUGGCGGCAGGCCUAACACAUGCAAGUCGAACGGUAACAGGAAGCAGCUUGCUGCUUCGCUGACAAGUGGCGGACGGGUGAGUAAUGUCUGGGAAACUGCCUGAUGGAGGGGGAUAACUACUGGAAACGGUGGCUAAUACCGCAUGACGUCGCAAGACCAAAGAGGGGGACCUCCGGGCCUCUUGCCAUCAGAUGUGCCCAGAUGGGAUUAGCUUGUUGGUGAGGUAACGGCUCACCAAGGCGACGAUCCCUAGCUGGUCUGAGAGGAUGACCAGCCACACUGGAACUGAGACACGGUCCAGACUCCUACGGGAGGCAGCAGUGGGGAAUAUUGCACAAUGGGCGCAAGCCUGAUGCAGCCAUGCCGCGUGUAUGAAGAAGGCCUUCGGGUUGUAAAGUACUUUCAGCGGGGAGGAAGGUGUUGUGGUUAAUAACC
Molecule: ribosomal RNA, 471 nt
Filed under: Salmonella enterica
Lineage: Bacteria; Pseudomonadati; Pseudomonadota; Gammaproteobacteria; Enterobacterales; Enterobacteriaceae
Description: bacterial SSU rRNA
Rfam family: Bacterial small subunit ribosomal RNA
Source: RNAcentral